RNAcentral lists this ribosomal RNA (379 nucleotides) under Pireneitega luctuosa. RNAcentral's name for it is "partial large subunit ribosomal RNA". The record is from RNAcentral. Lineage: Eukaryota; Metazoa; Arthropoda; Arachnida; Araneae; Agelenidae.
UCAAUGAAAUUUAAAUAGCCGCAAUACAUUUGUGGUAAGGUAGCAUAAUAAUUUGUUUUUUAAUUAAAGAAUAGAACAAAAGAUUUCACAUUUUUAUUUCUUUCUUAAUUAUAUAUAUUAAAAUUAUUUUAAAUAUAAAAAGAUAUUUAUUAAACAAAAAGACGACAAGACCCUAUUGAACUUAACUAAAGUUUAACUGGGGCAGUUAAUUAAAUAUUAUUUUAAUUAAUAAUUUACAAACCCCUAAUACAAUUAAAUUCAUCAAGUUCCCAUAGGGAUAACAGCGUAAUAAUUUUUUACAGUUCUUAUUUAAAAAAAAAAUUGCGACCUCGAUGUUGAAUUAAUAAUCUAUUAAAUGCAAUAAUUUAAUAAGAAAGUC